GGUUGGACGAAGUACAAACUUUCUUUAACUUAGUUUAUGAAUUUAAUUUUUUAGUUAAAAAGCUAAAAUUUAUUUGGGGGACGAGAAGACCCUAUAGAUCUUUAUAUUUGUGAUUAUCAUAUAUUAUAGUGAAUUAAUUAUUUUGAUAAUUAUAUAUAUUAAAUUGGGGUGAUUGUAGAAUUUACUGAACUUCUAUUUUUCUUUUUCAAAAAUUAUUGUUUAAUUGAUCCAUUUUUAUUGAUUAAAAGAUUAAGUUACCUUAGGGAUAACAGCGUAAUUUUUUCGGAGAGCUCAUAUCGAUGAAGGAGUUUGCGACCUCGAUGUUGGAUUAAAAUAAGUUUUGGGUGUAGAAGCUCAAAAACUAGGUCUGUUCGACCUUUAAUUUUUUACAUGAUCUGAGUU
Molecule: ribosomal RNA, 402 nt
Filed under: Endochus sp. 00002578
Lineage: Eukaryota; Metazoa; Arthropoda; Insecta; Hemiptera; Reduviidae
Description: partial 16S ribosomal RNA
Rfam family: Bacterial large subunit ribosomal RNA (bases 265-402)
Source: RNAcentral